GAUGAACGCUGGCGGCGUGCCUAAUACAUGCAAGUCGAGCGAACAGAUGAGGAGCUUGCUCCUCUGACGUUAGCGGCGGACGGGUGAGUAACACGUGGAUAACCUACCUAUAAGACUGGGAUAACUUCGGGAAACCGGAGCUAAUACCGGAUAAUAUAUUGAACCGCAUGGUUCAAUAGUGAAAGACGGUUUUGCUGUCACUUAUAGAUGGAUCCGCGCCGCAUUAGCUAGUUGGUAAGGUAACGGCUUACCAAGGCAACGAUGCGUAGCCGACCUGAGAGGGUGAUCGGCCACACUGGAACUGAGACACGGUCCAGACUCCUACGGGAGGCAGCAGUAGGGAAUCUUCCGCAAUGGGCGAAAGCUUGACGGAGCAACGCCACGUGAGUGAUGAAGGUCUUCGGAUCGUAAAACUCUGUUAUUAGGGAAGAACAAAUGUGUAAGUAACUAUGCACGUCUUGACGGUACCUAAUCAGAAAGCCACGGCUAACUACGUG
RNAcentral lists this ribosomal RNA (497 nucleotides) under uncultured bacterium. Its description in RNAcentral is "partial 16S ribosomal RNA". It matches the Rfam family "Bacterial small subunit ribosomal RNA", at positions 28 to 507 of the family's 1533-position model. The record is from RNAcentral.